Molecule: ribosomal RNA, 752 nt
Filed under: uncultured bacterium
Lineage: Bacteria
Description: bacterial SSU rRNA
Rfam family: Bacterial small subunit ribosomal RNA
Source: RNAcentral
AGUCGACGGUACAGGCCUAGUUACUAGGUGCUGACGAGUGGCGGACGGCUGAGUAACGCGUGGGAAUGUGCCCUAAAGUGAGGGAUAACGCACCGAAAGGUGUGCUAAUACCGCAUAUGGUCUUCGGAUUAAAGAAUUUAUUCGCUUUAGGAGCAGCCCGCGUCGGAUUAGGUAGUUGGUGAGGUAAAGGCUCACCAAGCCCACGAUCCGUAGCUGGUCUGAGAGGAUGACCAGCCAGACUGGAACUGAGACACGGUCCAGACUCCUACGGGAGGCAGCAGUGAGGAAUCUUCCACAAUGGGCGAAAGCCUGAUGGAGCAACGCCGCGUGCAGGAUGAAGGCCUUCGGGUUGUAAACUGCUUUUAUUUGUGAAGAAUAUGACGGUAACAAAUGAAUAAGGAUCGGCUAACUACGUGCCAGCAGCCGCGGUCAUACGUAGGAUCCAAGCGUUAUCCGGAGUGACUGGGCGUAAAGAGUUGCGUAGGUGGUUUGUUAAGUAGAUAGUGAAAUCUGGCGGCUCAACCGUACAGGCUAUUAUCUAAACUGACAAACUCGAGAAUGGUAGAGGUAACUGGAAUUUCUUGUGUAGGAGUGAAAUCCGUAGAUAUAAGAAGGAACACCAAUGGCGUAGGCAGGUUACUGGACCAUUUCUGACACUGAGGCACGAAAGCGUGGGGAGCGAACCGGAUUAGAUACCCGGGUAGUCCACGCCGUUAACGAUGGAUACUAGCUGUUGGAGGUAUCGACCCCUU